GCGGAUGUAGUUUAACGGACGAAUCUGCUCUUGCCAGGGGUAGGAUCUCGGUUCGACUCCGGGCAUCCGCU
Molecule: transfer RNA, 71 nt
Filed under: Reticulibacter mediterranei
Lineage: Bacteria; Bacillati; Chloroflexota; Ktedonobacteria; Ktedonobacterales; Reticulibacteraceae
Rfam family: tRNA
About the family: Transfer RNA (tRNA) molecules are approximately 80 nucleotides in length. Their secondary structure includes four short double-helical elements and three loops (D, anti-codon, and T loops). Further hydrogen bonds mediate the characteristic L-shaped molecular structure. tRNAs have two regions of fundamental functional importance: the anti-codon, which is responsible for specific mRNA codon recognition, and the 3' end, to which the tRNAs corresponding amino acid is attached (by aminoacyl-tRNA synthetases). tRNAs cope with the degeneracy of the genetic code in two manners: having more than one tRNA (with a specific anti-codon) for a particular amino acid; and 'wobble' base-pairing, i.e. permitting non-standard base-pairing at the 3rd anti-codon position.
Source: Rfam by way of RNAcentral